CCUUACAUCUCAUCUGUGUUCCAUACCAGUAUCUCUACACUCCUUGAUUAAGAGAACAACCAACCCAUAUGGCACACAAUGACCUAUACUUGAUAAAUAUUGUUGUCCUUGGUAACAAUGUAUCAUUUGGUCGCAAAUAGGUUUAAGGACUAAACGACAAAUCCUCCUUUGUCGAGUCUAAAUAGUUCUAAGGACUUCACCACAACAUAAGAGUUUAUUAGAAGAUGAAAUAAUUUAUGAUAAAAAAUAUCAAAAUAACUUUUAUUUAUUUAUAAUUCAUAUACUAAUACA
Molecule: long non-coding RNA, 291 nt
Filed under: Elaeis guineensis (African oil palm)
Lineage: Eukaryota; Viridiplantae; Streptophyta; Magnoliopsida; Arecales; Arecaceae
Description: long non-coding RNA (EGUI_LNC051699)
Source: RNAcentral